UAAUGCCAAGCAUGCUUUGCAAUGAAUAGACAUAUUUACGGUAUUGAGAAAAAUACAUAUUAAAUAUGCGUUUAAGGACCCGUAAACGUGUGUAAAUGCAUAAAUAUAUCACUGACACAUAUAUACUUUUUGCUCAAUCUUUGAAUAAUUUUUCUAUUUGAAGCCUGAAAAUGUAUAAAUUUUACAUUUUUUUAAAAAAUAUGUAUAUAUGAAAAAAAAAGAAAAAGUAUAUGUAUACACAUAUUUAACUUAAUAAAAUGUUUUUUUUUAAAAUUAAGAAAAACACAGUUCAAAUAUCCUUAAACAAAGUUUGUUUACGUUUUUUUAAAACAAAAAAAAAUGUAAGUGUUAGCAAAUUGGUAAAAAACAAAAAAAUAAAAGAGCAUGAACUGUACAAUAUCAGAGAUAUAGAACUUUUAUUAAAUGAGAAGCGUCAUGAUAUUUUGAACAAUUACCCAGUAAUCGGAAAUGUGAACAAAAUUAUAAGUGUUAAUGAUAUUCCAAUUUUUCGAAAAAAUGAAAACACGCAUAACAUAUUAAAUAAAAUUGCUCUUCACUUUGGCGAUUUGUCUUACUUAAAAGGUGAUGUAGUUGUGAAUGGAACGAAUAAAGUUUUUGAGUUAACUAAAGAAGGUAAUGGUUAUGAUUGUGCAGGCAAUUUUUUAAAAACAUGUGGAGAUGAAUUGUUUAAUGAUAUGAAAAGUAUUCGAAAAAAAAAUGAAUCAAAUAAAAAUAUCAUAAUAACAAAAGGUUAUAAUAGUGCAUAUAACAACAUUAUACAUAUUGUAGAACCAUAUUAUAAUGAAACAGAAAAAUUAAAAGAUUGUUAUAAAAAUAUUUUAUUAAUAGCUAAAAAAAACAAAUUCAAAACUAUUGUUUUUCCAUUACUUGGUAGUGGUAUCAGCUUAUUUAAAAGACAAGAUGUUGUUAUAUGUUGUUUAGAAGGUAUUUAUGAAUUUUUAAAAAUAAAAGAUAAUUUUAAUUCUAUGAAUAAAAUUAUUUUAACUACUAUUACUGAUUCUUACUGGAUGUUAUUAAGAGAUUCUAUACCGCUCUACUUAAAUACAGAAGUAGAAUGAGUGUCUCCAAAAAAAAAAAAAAAAAAAAAAAAAAGACAUACAUACAUACAUACAUACAUACAUAUGUACUUAUACACAUACACAUACACCAUUUUUAUUUUUCCCUAAAAUAAAAAAAAUGAUUGACAUAAGUACGCA
Molecule: long non-coding RNA, 1217 nt
Filed under: Piliocolobus tephrosceles (Ugandan red Colobus)
Lineage: Eukaryota; Metazoa; Chordata; Mammalia; Primates; Cercopithecidae
Description: lncRNA (ENSPTEG00000002843.1)
Source: RNAcentral